This 83-nucleotide transfer RNA is filed under the name Colletotrichum gloeosporioides Cg-14. It matches the Rfam family "tRNA". Rfam says of the family: Transfer RNA (tRNA) molecules are approximately 80 nucleotides in length. Their secondary structure includes four short double-helical elements and three loops (D, anti-codon, and T loops). Further hydrogen bonds mediate the characteristic L-shaped molecular structure. tRNAs have two regions of fundamental functional importance: the anti-codon, which is responsible for specific mRNA codon recognition, and the 3' end, to which the tRNAs corresponding amino acid is attached (by aminoacyl-tRNA synthetases). tRNAs cope with the degeneracy of the genetic code in two manners: having more than one tRNA (with a specific anti-codon) for a particular amino acid; and 'wobble' base-pairing, i.e. permitting non-standard base-pairing at the 3rd anti-codon position. Lineage: Eukaryota; Fungi; Ascomycota; Sordariomycetes; Glomerellales; Glomerellaceae. The record is from Rfam by way of RNAcentral.
GGCCGGUUGGCCCAAUGGCAAGGCGUCUGACUACGAUACACAGUGGAAUCAGGAAAUUGUGGGUUCGACCCCCAUGCUGGUCA